Teratosphaeriaceae sp. CCFEE 6253 is the source of this 134-nucleotide non-coding RNA. Lineage: Eukaryota; Fungi; Ascomycota; Dothideomycetes; Mycosphaerellales; Teratosphaeriaceae. The record is from the annotation of a GenBank genome assembly.
GCGCUCAUAGCUCAGUUGGUAGAGCGCGGCACUAGUAUCACGUGAUGCCGAGGUCUACGGUGCGUCCCGCCAGAGCCGCCAGUCCCUCGGGCGCCGGCUGACGAUCUUCGCAGGUUCAACUCCGUAUGGGCGCA